GGGUGGGAGACCUCAAACGAAAAAUUAAAAAAGCCAGCUCUCUUUCAAGGGCAGACUAAACAAUAAAAAAAACCCUGUUAUUUAAGGGUUUAUAUGAGUUUCUUUCAAAGGGCAAGGAUUGCCCGGUGCACUAAGCGUGCUAUGCACGAGAUUCGGGGAAGGGCCGAAUCACAGUAAAUAAAUUUUUUUCAAGGGCAGAUUACAAUAAAAGAAAAAAACCUUUGCAGAAAGUAUUGUAUUGGGACUUAUGCAGGAUAAUUGUUGUAUGAUUCAUUGAUUCUGAUAAAGUUGUUAUUCCAAUAAGAAGAUCACAUUGAUGGAAAAUUGGCAAGUUGUAUUCAGUUGUACUGUGAGUAUGUAUAGAGAAAGAUAUAACAUAGCUAAAGAAAAGGUAAUUUAGUACUUUCACAUCAGUCAGUUAGGUUAGUUUAAGCUUAC
Molecule: long non-coding RNA, 438 nt
Filed under: Nicotiana benthamiana
Lineage: Eukaryota; Viridiplantae; Streptophyta; Magnoliopsida; Solanales; Solanaceae
Description: long non-coding RNA (NBEN_LNC028794)
Source: RNAcentral